UUGAAUGAACUUGAUGUAGUUGUCGCUGGCCCUCUUGGGGGCAUGUGCACGCUCGUCAUCUUUAUCUUUCCACCUGUGCACACUUUGUAGACCUGGAUGGUACUUUCCGAGGUAACUCGGUCGGGAGGACUGCUGUGCGUCAUUGCCGGCUUUCCUUGCAUUAUUCAGGCCUAUGUUUUCAUAUACCCCAAAGCAUGUAACAGAAUGUAUCAUUGGGCCUUGUGCCUAUAAACUAUAUA
This 239-nucleotide unclassified non-coding RNA is filed under the name uncultured Galerina. Its description in RNAcentral is "sequence contains ITS1". The record is from RNAcentral. Lineage: Eukaryota; Fungi; Basidiomycota; Agaricomycetes; Agaricales; Cortinariaceae.